AUGGAUACUUCUUCAGGCAUAGUGACGGUGAUGCUCUUGAUACUUGGAAGAACCCACGGAGACUCAGUGACCCAGAUGGAAGGCCAAGUGACCAUAUCAGAAGGGGCUUUGCUGACCAUAAACUGUACUUUCUCAUCCACAAGGUACCCUACUCUUUUCUGGUAUGUUCAAUACCCUGGAGAAGGUCCACAGCUCCUCCUGAAAGCUAUGAAGGCCAAUGAUAAGGUCAGCAACAAAGGUUUUGAAGCCACAUACAAUAAAGAAGCCACUUCUUUCAACUUGGAGAAAGCCUCCAUCCAAGAGUCAGACUCGGCUGUGUACUACUGUGCUCUGGAAUUAUACAGCAAAAGUGGCUUGCUUGAACUCACAUGGUUAAAAUCUAGUGAGCUUGGCAAAUCAGCCCACCACUCACUGAUUGAUAUUGGAGUUAGACAAGUGACAGGCCAUCCUCAACACCCAGGUAAUCUUUUAACACCUUUCCUAAAAGUCAUGGUGUAUAUCCAUUAUCUCAAGUGGCCAUCCCUUGAAAGAAGGAUAGCAACAUCAUCAGCAUCACUCAACAUUGUCAGCAAAAAUGAGAUUGAAAUUGAGACACCAAGGACAACAUUGUACUGCUGCAGUUGA
Ictidomys tridecemlineatus (thirteen-lined ground squirrel) is the source of this 624-nucleotide non-coding RNA. The record is from the annotation of a RefSeq genome assembly. Lineage: Eukaryota; Metazoa; Chordata; Mammalia; Rodentia; Sciuridae.